This 218-nucleotide long non-coding RNA is filed under the name Homo sapiens (human). Its description in RNAcentral is "non-protein coding lnc-GLCCI1-3:1". The record is from RNAcentral. Lineage: Eukaryota; Metazoa; Chordata; Mammalia; Primates; Hominidae.
CAUUAACAGGAGAAUAGAUUUAAAAUAUGGUAUAUUCAUAUAAUUGAAUACUAUAUAACAGUAAAAAUGGAUACACUGUAGCUAUGGGCAACAACAUGGAUGCAUCUCAGGAAUACAUUGAGUGGAAAAAGCAAGUCACCGAACGAUCUAUGCAGUAAAAUUUCAAUUUAUAUAGUUUGAAACCAUGCAAAAUCACAUAUUAUAUAUGUUCAGGCAUA